CUUAUCCUUUGUUGCCAGCGGUCCGGCCGGGAACUCAAAGGAGACUGCCAGUGAUAAACUGGAGGAAGGUGGGGAUGACGUCAAGUCAUCAUGGCCCUUACGACCAGGGCUACACACGUGCUACAAUGGCGCAUACAAAGAGAAGCGACCUCGCGAGAGCAAGCGGACCUCAUAAAGUGCGUCGUAGUCCGGAUUGGAGUCUGCAACUCGACUCCAUGAAGUCGGAAUCGCUAGUAAUCGUGGAUCAGAAUGCCACGGUGAAUACGUUCCCGGGCCUUGUACACACCGCCCGUCACACCAUGGGAGUGGGUUGCAAAAGAAGUAGGUAGCUUAACCUUCGGGAGGGCGCUUACCACUUUGUGAUUCAUGACUGGGGUGAAGUCGUAACAAGGUAACCGUAGGGGAACCUGCGGUUGGAUCACCUCCUU
RNAcentral lists this ribosomal RNA (428 nucleotides) under Escherichia coli. RNAcentral's name for it is "bacterial SSU rRNA". It matches the Rfam family "Bacterial small subunit ribosomal RNA", at positions 1104 to 1532 of the family's 1533-position model. Lineage: Bacteria; Pseudomonadati; Pseudomonadota; Gammaproteobacteria; Enterobacterales; Enterobacteriaceae. The record is from RNAcentral.